This is a long non-coding RNA of Physella acuta, 295 nucleotides long. RefSeq lists it as uncharacterized. Lineage: Eukaryota; Metazoa; Mollusca; Gastropoda; Physidae. The record is from RefSeq and is a predicted model, not a curated record.
AGACCGUGGUAUUGAGCCAGACAAGCAUCAACACAAUAUAUUCGUACCAUUGUCUCCGCCUGUAGAGUCAAGACAAAUGCACGAAACAAACUUUGUCUUGUUUUCUGUUUUUAAAUGCUUAUUCAAUUCAAAUACUGCGACCAUUGGCCUUAUCUUUAUACUUACAGGUAACUUAGUGAAUUCGGACGUAAUAGACAUGAAACUAAGGGACCUUACCUACCCCUACACUCUGAAAGCUAAUGAUGAAUGUAAGAACAAAAACAUGUCAAUGAUUGUGGAAGAUAUAUCUAUUUUA